Molecule: ribosomal RNA, 323 nt
Filed under: uncultured bacterium
Lineage: Bacteria
Description: bacterial SSU rRNA
Rfam family: Bacterial small subunit ribosomal RNA
Source: RNAcentral
AUUGAACGCUGGCGGCAUGCCUUACACAUGCAAGUCGAACGGCAGCACGGGAGCAAUCCUGGUGGCGAGUGGCGAACGGGUGAGUAAUAUAUCGGAACGUGCCCAGUCCGUGGGGAUAACGUAGCGAAAGCUACGCUAAUACCGCAUACGAUCUAUGGAUGAAAGCGGGGGAUUCGCAAGAACCUCGCGCGAUUGGAGCGGCUGAUAUCAGAUUAGGUUGUUAGGUGAGGUAAAAGCUCACCAAGCCGACGAUCUGUAGCUGGUUUGAGAGAACGACCAGCCACACUGGGACUGAGACACGGCCCAGACUCCUACGGGAGGCA